UGCUUCCCAUAUUGUUGAAACACAACAGACAUGGACUUAAUACCCCAAAAAAAAUACUGAAUUAAUAAUGGAUUAUGCUUUUCAUAUUGUUGAAACACAGCAUACAUUAAAUUUGGAUCCCCAAAAUUAGUAACACGACAUUGGUUACUGGAAUGGCAAUGAUCAUGUAAUGGCAAUUAUCAUACUCACUGAGAAAGAAGAUUGAAGAGAACGGCUUCUUGUGUGACUGUGACGGUGAAAUUGCCGACAGCGGACGAGAUGGAUGGAAAUCGAGCGUUAUUUGCUGCUUCGUGUGCUUCAAUGAUACAAUAUAUUGGGCAACAAAGAAUAAAGGGUAAUAUUCUGAAGUUGUUAUGUUUUCUGUUGUAAUUGUAAUAUAGAAAGUUACAUGGGCGGGAAAGAUGGAAUAGUUGUUGGGAUUCUCUUAGAUGUUAGCUAUAAGAGCUGUAAAUGUUGUAUUACGGAUCAUUCUCGAUUCUUAAUAAAAAGUUGACAGAGUUUCCCUUCCAUUUCCUCUGUAUUUUCCCUUCUUCCAUUUUAUUUCACAACAUUUGGUACCACAGCGAUGAUCCACGACCAUGGUUGGGGUUGGGGAGGAGACACGUUCUCAAGAGUGAAGAAAGGAGAUAACAUCCAUGGUAGUGGAAGCAAAGCAUAGGCAUGAGAUGAGGUUGAGGGAGAUGGUGGCAGGACAAGAAGCAAGAUUCCAAAGUAUAGUGGAUGAGCUUAAGUCUUUGAUAGUCAACAAAAUAUAGAAAUUGCAGAACAAAGGGUUUGUUGUCAAGAGUUGAUGCAGAUUGAAAAGAAUGAGGAUCACCAAACUGGGGAAAGAGUGGGUAAUAAGAAUCCAGGAGAACAAUUGCAAGAAGGGAACGUUGGUUAUAACAAUCCAUGGGAAAGUAAUGCUAAACUGGAAUCUCCUCGUUUUGAUGGUAGUAGAUUAGAAUGAUGGCUCUUAUGAUGUGCAUAUUUCUUGUUGGUGGAAAAAAUAGCACAUGAGAACAGAGUGAAAGUUGCAGCUCUGCAUCGAAAGGGCCAAGAUAUUAAAUGGUGCCAUGGGUUUGUUCAGGUGAAGGGUAAUAAAGCAUAUGAGAAUUGGGAUAAAUAUGUCAAUGCAUUGGCGGCUAGCUUCGGAAAUUAUGCCUUCAAUGACCCAAUUGGGAAGCUGCACAACCUGAAGAAGUCAUAUUCCUUGCAAGAUCGUCUCAAUUCUUUUCAUUAUCUUUACUUGAAGGUAUGCCUAUUGGCUCCAGUUGCAAAAAAUUCUGGUGAAUGAAUUAAGUAUACCAAAAAGGAUGAGAAGUUUGCCUCUUGAUACGAGUAAAAGAGCAGAUGUAUUAUUGGAACAUUCACCGUUUGCAGGUGACACUGAAAUGAGCAACAAAUUGAUGGGAACAUAUGAAAAACGGAGGAGUAUGAGAGAUGCCCACUGGGUGUUUGAUAGAAUGCGGAAAAGCCCACUGGGUGUUUGAUAGAAUGCGGAAAAGGAACAUUGGUUCUUGGCAUUUGUUGAUAAGCAAAGAUGCAGCAAAUUGGCAUGGCUAUAAUGGUGUUCAGUCUUAUCAGCUUGAAGAAUUUGGAGUGUGUGCAUCAAAUGUUGAAAAUGUUUGUUC
This 1613-nucleotide unclassified non-coding RNA is filed under the name Hevea brasiliensis (rubber tree). The record is from RNAcentral. Lineage: Eukaryota; Viridiplantae; Streptophyta; Magnoliopsida; Malpighiales; Euphorbiaceae.